This 466-nucleotide ribosomal RNA is filed under the name uncultured bacterium. Its description in RNAcentral is "partial 16S ribosomal RNA". It matches the Rfam family "Bacterial small subunit ribosomal RNA", at positions 28 to 507 of the family's 1533-position model. The record is from RNAcentral.
GACGAACGCUGGCGGCGUGCUUAACACAUGCAAGUCGAACGGAAAGGCCUCUUUCGGGGGGUACUCGAGUGGCGAACGGGUGAGUAACACGUGAGUAACCUGUCCUUGACUUUGGGAUAACUUCAGGAAACUGGGGCUAAUACCGGAUAGGAGCUCCUGCUGCAUGGUGGGGGUUGGAAAGUUUCGACGGUUGGGGAUGGACUCGCGGCUUAUCAGCUUGUUGGUGGGGUAGUGGCUUACCAAGGCUUUGACGGGUAGCCGGCCUGAGAGGGUGACCGGCCACAUUGGGACUGAGAUACGGCCCAGACUCCUACGGGAGGCAGCAGUGGGGAAUAUUGCACAAUGGGCGGAAGCCUGAUGCAGCAACGCCGCGUGCGGGAUGACGGCCUUCGGGUUGUAAACCGCUUUCGCCUGUGACGAAGCGUGAGUGACGGUAAUGGGUAAAGAAGCACCGGCUAACUACGUG